UUCUGGUCGAUUUUCUCAGUGCUUCGUCGUCAUCCAAUGCAAUACGUAUCCUCCUAUUAAUACACACACAGUGCAUUUCUCCCGACUCUCUCUCCUCUCUCUCGUUCUCUCUCUCUCUAUAACUUCCACCCUAAGCUUUCCUCUUGCGAAAACGACAGCUUUCAAGGCUUUCGCUUUUCUUAUUUGCUCUGAACAGAAGCUGAUUGGCUUUUUGGCAGAUAUUGCUCAAAUUCCUGAUCUUCUGAGGGAUUCCGUCAUUGCUCCUGGAAGCAGAUUGAGCAUUCUAAUUCCGUAUAUGCAUUUUUAAGGAGAUGACUUCCCAUGAGUACGAUUCAGAUAUUGUUCAGUGGGGUAUUCGUCUUUUUGGUAGGGAUCCAGUUUGUAAUUCUUCAUACUACUAUGGUGACAUGAUACAACACGAUUCCAAUGAUAUCGACCAUGAAGAGUGUAUCAGAAGUCAUUAUGAUACAGAAUCAAACAAUGUAGAAAAUGAUGAGAUCAUUGCACAUACUCUUCAAGAAGAAUUUUCGCGACUAUCUGUAACAGAGGCCUCUGAAUACUCCCAUGCAGGAGAAGCGCAAUCACAAGCUUCAUUUCUUGCAGAUGAGUGGCAUGGUCAAUCUACAAGAGAUUAUUACUCAGACCAUGGUUAUGGCCAGGAAGAAGCUGAUACUGUGGUGCCUUCUAGCUUAUGUUCUAGACCUGAUGAUCAUUUGGAGCUAACUGAUGGAUGUGCACUUGAUGGUGAAGUAGGCUGGGGCUGGAAUCCUGUUCCUCACAUUCCUAGAAUCAAUGGAGAAAUUCCUUCAAUUGAUGAAGCGACUUCAGAUCAUCAAAGGCUAGUUGACAGGCUUCAAUUAUAUGGCUUCGUCGAACACAAGGUGGCAGGAGAUGGCAACUGCCAGUUCCAUGCUUUAUCAGACCAGUUGUAUCAAUCACCUGACAACCACGAGUAUGUGAGAAAGCAAGUUGUAAAUCAGCUUAAGUCUCAUCCAGAGAUAUACGAGGGAUAUGUUCCUAUGGCAUAUGAUGACUAUUUGGAGAAGAUGUCCAAGGAUGGUGAGUGGGGUGACCAUGUCUCAUUACAGGCGGCUGCUGAUUUGUACGAAGUGAAAAUAUUUGUCUUGACGUCGUUUAAGGAUAACUGUUGCAUAGAGAUUCUUCCUAAUAUUCAAACUUCAAAACAAGUUAUUUAUUUGAGUUUCUGGGCGGAGGUGCAUUACAACUCAAUUUAUCCUCAAGGAGGCACACCCUCAUAUGAGAACAGGAAAAAGAAAAAAUGGCGGAUAUUUGGGAAUAAGCAUUAGGAAUGUUUGGAUGGCAUUAGGCACAUUUCUCCCUCUUAUUGUUGCUGCUGCUUUUGUUUAAAUCACGUAGAUCCCUGGUUCAGAACCUCACAUGAUCAUAUUUUUGCUCUUCCAAUGUCCCGUCCAGGCUGGAUUAUCUCUUUUCUUACCAGCGGUUUUAUCCACGUCGUUGUGCAAGCGCGUGUAUUUGAGGGGAUACGACAAAUAUGCAGAUGGUGGGUUCCAAGUUCCAACUGAAUUGGAAAAUCUCUGGUGAGUAUCUGCGUCAACACACGAAAAAUAUGCAACCGGUGAGUUUCAACUGAAUUGGAAAGCUCGGCCAUUGUUUACAUCAUUUGUUUCAUGGGUAAUAAUUUACUUGCAUCUUGCGCAUUGGUGAAUAUACGAUUGGAUGCAGGGUGUUAAAGUUUUUGCUUGGUCAUUGAACACUAAUUUGAGUAGAGAGAGAGAGAGAGAGAGAGAGAGAGAGAGAGAGAGAGAGGUGCAGAUUAUUAGUUAGAAACAGAGCUCAAAAGAUACAUGUUCAAUUUGCUUCUGGUUUCAGCGGCAGUCGGGCAACAAUUCAGGUUUCAGUUGUAUCUUUGCUUGUUGAUCGUAGUCAAGUAUUUAUACAUUUCCGUGAGUAAUAGCAGCAGCAGAAGAAGAAUAUGGACUAUAGGUUGUCUGUGUUUUUGCUUCGACGGCCGUCAAAUGCUUCACGUUUCAUCAUUGAAAUGAUUGAUCGAACGACGGGUGAUUACAAUUUCUUUAGAGUAAUAGGGUACAGAAUAGAACUUUGAUAGUGAUAUCCAAACUUGAGGUUGAAGAUGACAACAGGAUCGUUGACUUGUCAAAGUCAUCGAUUUUCUUUGUUACCUUGGAUUGGAGGGAGUCAAACUCUCAGUCUAUCCUCCUGUCCUCCCUCCUCUCCGUUUUAUCGAACUAAAUUUAUAAGAAUAAAUCGAUUACGU
This is a non-coding RNA of Malus domestica (apple), 2257 nucleotides long. The record is from RefSeq and is a predicted model, not a curated record. NCBI's taxonomy places the organism in Eukaryota, Viridiplantae, Streptophyta, Magnoliopsida, Rosales, Rosaceae.